GACGAACGCUGGCGGCGUGCUUAACACAUGCAAGUCGAACGGGAGUAUUGAAGAAGCUUGCUUUAGAGAUACUUUAGUGGCGGACGGGUGAGUAACGCGUGAGGAGCUGUCCUAUGCAGGGGGACAACAGCUGGAAACGGCUGCUAAUACCCCAUAAGCCGAGAGGUAAAAGGAUCAAUCCGGCAGAGGAGGUACUCGCGUCCUAUCAGCUAGUAGGUGAGGUAACGGCUCACCUAGGCGAAGACGGGUAGCCGGCCUGAGAGGGCGAACGGCCACACUGGAACUGAGAUACGGUCCAGACUCCUACGGGAGGCAGCAGUGGGGAAUAUUGGGCAAUGGGGGAAACCCUGACCCAGCGACGCCGCGUGGGUGAAGAAAUCCUUCGGGAUGUAAAGCCCUGUUGUAUGGGAAGAGCGGAAGACGGUACCAUACGAGGAAGCCCGGCGAAACUAACGUG
Molecule: ribosomal RNA, 457 nt
Filed under: uncultured bacterium
Lineage: Bacteria
Description: bacterial SSU rRNA
Rfam family: Bacterial small subunit ribosomal RNA
Source: RNAcentral